Molecule: ribosomal RNA, 700 nt
Filed under: uncultured bacterium
Lineage: Bacteria
Description: bacterial SSU rRNA
Rfam family: Bacterial small subunit ribosomal RNA
Source: RNAcentral
AGAGUUUGAUCCUGGCUCAGAUUGAACGCUGGCGGCAGGCCUAACACAUGCAAGUCGAGCGGUAGAGAGAAGCUUGCUUCUCUUGAGAGCGGCGGACGGGUGAGUAAUGCCUAGGAAUCUGCCUGGUAGUGGGGGAUAACGUUCGGAAACGGACGCUAAUACCGCAUACGUCCUACGGGAGAAAGCAGGGGACCUUCGGGCCUUGCGCUAUCAGAUGAGCCUAGGUCGGAUUAGCUAGUUGGUGGGGUAAUGGCUCACCAAGGCGACGAUCCGUAACUGGUCUGAGAGGAUGAUCAGUCACGCUGGAACUGAGACAUGGUCCAGACUCCUACGGGAGGCAGCAGUGGGGAAUAUUGGACAAUGGGCGAAAGCCUGAUCCAGCCAUGCCGCGUGUGUGAAGAAGGUCUUCGGAUUGUAAAGCACUUUAAGUUGGGAGGAAGGGCAGUAAAUUAAUACUUUGCUGUUUUGACGUUACCGACAGAAUAAGCACCGGCUAACUCUGUGCCAGCAGCCGCGGUAAUACAGAGGGUGCAAGCGUUAAUCGGAAUUACUGGGCGUAAAGCGCGCGUAGGUGGUUAGUUAAGUUGGAUGUGAAAUCCCCGGGCUCAACCUGGGAACUGCAUUCAAAACUGACUGACUAGAGUAUGGUAGAGGGUGGUGGAAUUUCCUGUGUAGCGGUGAAAUGCGUAGAUAUAGGAAG